GCAAUCAUUAUUUCACCUGACCGUUUAAUCCUUUUUUUUUCAACAGCUUGAAUAUAGGUUCGCACGUGAUUGUUAGGUGAGAUGAGAACCAUGACAUGUAGUUCAAUCUACCUAAUAGACCACGAACCUCUUUUUUGUUCUCGGUUCAGGCACUUUUUUUUUUUUUGUUAUAUUUUUUAUUUUUUGCAGGAUCAACCUUGAUUCCUCUCUUACUUACGAUGAACCCCCAGCAGCUUACCGGCCCGCACUCUGAUAGUGCACUUAUCUGAAUUCAAACUCCGUUUGAAUUAUCUCAACUGGUCCAACAGCUUG
This 312-nucleotide long non-coding RNA is filed under the name Lathyrus oleraceus (garden pea). RNAcentral's name for it is "Pisum sativum (pea) long non-coding RNA (PSAT_LNC006945)". Lineage: Eukaryota; Viridiplantae; Streptophyta; Magnoliopsida; Fabales; Fabaceae. The record is from RNAcentral.